RNAcentral lists this ribosomal RNA (406 nucleotides) under uncultured bacterium. RNAcentral's name for it is "partial 16S ribosomal RNA". It matches the Rfam family "Bacterial small subunit ribosomal RNA", at positions 29 to 526 of the family's 1533-position model. The record is from RNAcentral.
AUUGACCGCUGGCGGCAGGCCUAACACAUGCAAGUCGAACGAGUGGCGGACGGGUGAGUAAUGUCUGGGAAACUGCCCGAUGGAGGGGGAUAAAUACUGGAACCGGUAGCUAAUACCGCAUACUCUCGGAUGUGCCCAGAUGGGAUUAGCUAGUAGGUGGGGUAACGGCUCACCUAGGCGACGCUCCCUAGCGGGUCGGAGAGGAUGACCAGCAACACUGGAACGGAGAAACGGUCCAGACGCCUACGGGAGGCAGCAGUGGGGAAUAUUGCACAAUGGGCGCAAGCCGGAUGAAGCCAUGCCGCGUGUAUGAAGAAGGCCGUCGGGUUGUAAAGUACUUUCAGCGAGGAGGCGUUACUCGCAGAAGAAGCCCCGGCUAACUCCGUGCCAGCCGCCGCGGUAAUAC